RNAcentral lists this ribosomal RNA (254 nucleotides) under uncultured bacterium. RNAcentral describes it as "partial 16S ribosomal RNA". It matches the Rfam family "Bacterial small subunit ribosomal RNA", at positions 524 to 776 of the family's 1533-position model. The record is from RNAcentral.
UACGGGGGGAGCAAGCGUUGUUCGGAUUUACUGGGCGUAAAGGGCGCGUAGGCGGUCGUGACAAGUCACUUGUGAAAUCUCCGGGCUUAACUCGGAACGGUCAAGUGAUACUGUCGGACUAGAGUACAGAAGGGGCAACUGGAAUUCUCGGUGUAGCGGUGAAAUGCGUAGAUAUCGGGAAGAACAUCGGUGGCGAAAGCGCUCUACUGGGCCAUAACUGACACUCAGGGACGAAAGCUAGGGGAGCGAAUGGG